RNAcentral lists this ribosomal RNA (478 nucleotides) under uncultured bacterium. Its description in RNAcentral is "partial 16S ribosomal RNA". It matches the Rfam family "Bacterial small subunit ribosomal RNA", at positions 28 to 507 of the family's 1533-position model. The record is from RNAcentral.
GAUGAACGCUGGCGGCGUGCCUAACACAUGCAAGUCGAACGGAGUCCAGCCUUUAAGACCUUCGGGUCAAAGAGGGGAAGACUGAGUGGCGGACGGGUGAGUAACACGUGGGCAACCUGGCUCAUAGAGGGGGAUAACAGAGAGAAAUUUCUGCUAAUACCGCAUAAGCACACACUGCCGCAUGGCAGAGGGUGAAAAGAGAAUCGCUAUGAGAUGGACCCGCGUCUGAUUAGCCAGUUGGCAGGGUAAGAGCCUACCAAAGCGACGAUCAGUAGCCGAUCUGAGAGGAUGAACGGCCACAUUGGGACUGAGACACGGCCCAAACUCCUACGGGAGGCAGGAGUGGGGGAUAUUGCACAAUGGGGGGAACCCUGAUGCAGCGACGCCGCGUGAGUGAAGAAGUAUUUCGGUAUGUAAAGCUCUAUCAGCAGGGAAGAUAAUGACAGUACCUGAAUAAGAAGCCCCGGCUAACUACGUG